UUGAAAAAUUGGGAACGCGUGUUUUAU
This 27-nucleotide non-coding RNA is filed under the name Bombyx mori (domestic silkworm). The record is from RNAcentral. Lineage: Eukaryota; Metazoa; Arthropoda; Insecta; Lepidoptera; Bombycidae.